ACUGGCAGCUCCAAGGUCAGGACGCCGUGGUUCCACACAGGCGGCUCGCGGUCACCACUUCCUUCAGGUCACUCUCGGGCUUGCCGGCCACCAUAAAGGGCCAGGUCUGCAAGGGAGAAGAGCGUGGAGGAGGUGGAGACUUAAGUGACCAUAUCCACUCUCAAGAUUUAUUGCAAGACUGACUGAUGUUAUAAACCGGGAAAGGACUCUUCCCACCACAGGGAUGACAGAAAUAUCAAGUGAAGUUGCCUUUGUCUUCGUGCAGAAAUGAGCCCGGACCACAACACAGGCAGCACCAAGAGAACACCCAACAAGCUUGGGAGAAGCUUCUCUGCUGAUUUCCAGAGUGACCUUUCUUUCGCCCAGUCACCCCCUGUUCUCAGUUUCACCAACACAGAACCUUCACCUACAGAUGGCAUCUUGUGAAACUUCUCUUGCCCGCGUUGGCCGUCAGCUGCUGCUGUCACAACACAAGUCUUGUUUAGCUGCCAUACUGUUGAGAUUUCGUGGGUGUUAGCAUGUCUGUUGUGUCUCCAAGACCCACAGGAGCUCCUGGACAACGACUGUUGAUGAGGAAAAACAAAACAAAACAAAACAAAACACCCAACAAAACCUGAAGAAGCAGGCCAGCCUUUUCAGAUUCUGGAACCAGUUCAGGCCCAAGACAACCAAAGUGUGCUUAUAUAAUGACGGCUGGAAUAGAAGGUGUCAGCUGCACUGUCUUAUGAAGCAGCAAACUCUUCCUGCAAACACAAACCAACAGAUGUGAUUCUAGACUCAGGUUUUCCUCCGUUCGUUUAACCCUUCUCUGUCUUAGCCUGUUCUGUAGACUUAAAUCUGGGCUCCAAAUAAAGGACUCCUGCCUGUUGGCUUCAGUGUAGCCAGUCGAAGGCAGAAGGAGACUGACUCUUAGCUUAUGGGGACUCUGUUUUCUUCAGUUAAUUGCCUGGAGAGAAAUGGGUACAUAGGAAAGGCAGACUGGCAGUCAGGUUCGGAGUUAGCCGGAUGGAUGUUGACAGCUGAGCUUCUUCCUGCCUGCUGGAGCUGGGGCGGAUAGCUGAUCCCCUUAGGGUCCUGUGCUUGUUUUACAGAUGAAGUGGGAUCCAUACACGGGUGCCCAGGCACACACACCAGCAAGCACAGGCUGACUGGCUGACUGCUAAGUGUAACUCCUGUCACCACAUGCUCUGCUCUGUAUUUCUUAUAUGCUUCAGGCCAUGGUUUUUUUGCUUUGUUUGUCUGUCGUGUUCUUAAAGUAAACUAUAUAGUUUUCUGAUUGUUUAGACGUAUAUCUGAAUCCAGUGCUUCAAGAGCAGUUAAUCAUUAUGCUCUGUGAGGUAUGAAGUCUUAGUGAGUUAUCAGCUGUCAAUCCGAAUUCCACGGGCUUAGUCAACCCCAUGAUUGUGAAAAUCUCUGUACUAUCUAACAAAAUGAUUUUAAGCCCUAUGGAUUACCUAUAUUUUAAUAAAUAAAUGCAAAUUUCAAGACAAAA
Molecule: long non-coding RNA, 1492 nt
Organism: Meriones unguiculatus (Mongolian gerbil)
Lineage: Eukaryota; Metazoa; Chordata; Mammalia; Rodentia; Muridae
Exons: 5
Source: RefSeq, a predicted model, not a curated record